Long non-coding RNA from Neofelis nebulosa (Clouded leopard), 1107 nucleotides. RefSeq lists it as uncharacterized. The record is from RefSeq and is a predicted model, not a curated record. The transcript has 3 exons. NCBI's taxonomy places the organism in Eukaryota, Metazoa, Chordata, Mammalia, Carnivora, Felidae.
AACCCACCCAGCUCUCGGGUUUUCCCAGACCCGCUGCCGGACUUCAUGCCGGCGGUGCGAAGACAACAGCCCAGCCGGGGACAGACGCGUCUGUACUUCGGGGCUCAGAGGAAGAGGAGGGGUGUGAAGCAGGGCGGGCUCCCCGGGGGCCUCCCGAAAUCUCUGAAUUACGUGAAAUACCCGUAAACAGAGCAGCGAGUGACACGUUAAACCGACACAAGCUACUGUACAGAACGGCAGACACGCAGCAACCAUUCCCGACCGUUUAUUUAACCGUCACACGCACAGACAAGCGGCUUAUCCCCCUGGGACUCUGACAUCCCAGGGCGUCUGCCACCUUCCCAUCGGGUCCCUCGUGUGCACACGGCCGCGUCUAGCUGGUACUUCUUCCAUCUGCCUCUGGGGCGGUUUUGCGCUUCGAGCGGCCUUUCUGGCUCGUGGUUCUGGCACUGUCCCCCCCCCCCGACCCCCCCAGCGCCGGUGGUCCUGCCCAAACCUGUUCAGAUUCCCACCGCGCUCCGCCACGUGCCGAAGGGAACAGUCCCUGGUUAGAAGCAGCAGAGACACGGAACGUGACACCCGGCGCUGGGAAGCUGUGAGAAAGAGGAAACAAAGGCGGCCUCUCUGGGCGUCAGCUUCUUCGUCCGCACAAUGAAGGGGUGCACUCAGACCCUCUGAUCUUUAUCUUUCUGUGGCAGAUGAAGGUGCUGAACUCAUCACAGUCCGCUUCUGUCCUCUGCACGUCUACGGGGGCAGAUCUGGCGACCAUUGCCACCGCCCACUCCCGCCUCUGAGUGUGGCUGUGUCAGUCUCUCCCUCUCACGAAAUCCUGGAGCCUUCGCUUCUUUUGUGCGAUUGGUUUCUUUUCUUAGUUUCUUUAGCUGAAUGUCUUUCCUCCUACCAACCUGUGUGCGGACUUGCCUUCAGGUUCCCCCUAGGUCCCCUGUGGGCUCUUCCUCGGGGACCCUGUCCGAAUCAGCCUCUGGCUCCGCGUGGGAGAUCCUGAGAAUAAAUGUAAGGUCCUGACUGCUCGUCUGGGGACGCUUCCUUUCAUUUUUCUGGCGUCACCUCAAACUCAGGAAUAAAAGCAAACUUGCUAUCCUCAAA